UACGGGGGGAGCAAGCGUUGUUCGGAUUUACUGGGCGUAAAGGGCGCGUAGGCGGCCACCGCAAGUCGACUGUGAAAUCUCCGGGCUUAACUCGGAAAGGUCAGCCGAUACUGCGGGGCUAGAGUGCAGAAGGGGCAACUGGAAUUCUCGGUGUAGCGGUGAAAUGCGUAGAUAUCGAGAGGAACACCUGCGGCGAAGGCGGGUUGCUGGGCUGACACUGACGCUGAUGUGCGAAAGCCAGGGGAGCGAACGGG
RNAcentral lists this ribosomal RNA (254 nucleotides) under uncultured bacterium. Its description in RNAcentral is "partial 16S ribosomal RNA". It matches the Rfam family "Bacterial small subunit ribosomal RNA", at positions 524 to 776 of the family's 1533-position model. The record is from RNAcentral.